CAGAAAGGAGAACAGAUUUGAAUGAACAAUCAAAUGGACUUGUUAAACAUUUGCUAAGCAAAGCAGAAGAGGGAUGGAUCAAAGGUGACCCCAGAGGACACAUCUUGAUGACAGUCACUCAGAAGAUGAUCCUGGAAGACUGCCCUUCCAAACUUCACCCUCAUAACCAAUCUAGAAGGCACCCCAAAUUGUUGGUAUAGAUAAUCCCAGAUUACCUGGAGGUUCCUUAAUUGUUUCCUUGGAUGAUAUGUUGCCUCAAAGACACAAAAAUACUCAUUUCAGCAUAAAAUGAGUUUUUACCCUCUUACCUCAAGAAUCAUACCCACACACUGAUGAGAACAAGGGUGAAAGCCAGCCAAUGCAGGAAUGGCACCUGACUUAGCAAAGUUAAGACUACAGGUCGUACCAAGGCUCAUAUAGUUGGUGGCACCAAGCAUUUAGGAAAAGGGAGUGAGGA
This 457-nucleotide long non-coding RNA is filed under the name Felis catus (domestic cat). RNAcentral's name for it is "lncRNA (ENSFCAG00000051768.1)". Lineage: Eukaryota; Metazoa; Chordata; Mammalia; Carnivora; Felidae. The record is from RNAcentral.